This 495-nucleotide ribosomal RNA is filed under the name uncultured bacterium. RNAcentral describes it as "partial 16S ribosomal RNA". It matches the Rfam family "Bacterial small subunit ribosomal RNA", at positions 28 to 507 of the family's 1533-position model. The record is from RNAcentral.
GAUGAACGCUGGCGGCGUGCCUAAUACAUGCAAGUCGAGCGAACAGACGAGGAGCUUGCUCCUCUGACGUUAGCGGCGGACGGGUGAGUAACACGUGGAUAACCUACCUAUAAGACUGGGAUAACUUCGGGAAACCGGAGCUAAUACCGGAUAAUAUAUUGAACCGCAUGGUUCAAUAGUGAAAGACGGUUUUGCUGUCACUUAUAGAUGGAUCCGCGCCGCAUUAGCUAGUUGGUAAGGUAACGGCUUACCAAGGCAACGAUGCGUAGCCGACCUGAGAGGGUGAUCGGCCACACUGGAACUGAGACACGGUCCAGACUCCUACGAGAGGCAGCAGUAGGAAAUCUUCCGAAAUGGGCGAAAGCCUGACAGAGCAACGCCGCGUGAGUGAUGAAGGUCUUCGGAUCGUAAAACUCUGUUAUUAGAGAAAAACAAAUGUAAGUAACUAUGCACGUCUUGACGGUACCUAAUCAGAAAGCCACGGCUAACUACGUG